Molecule: ribosomal RNA, 521 nt
Filed under: uncultured bacterium
Lineage: Bacteria
Description: bacterial SSU rRNA
Rfam family: Bacterial small subunit ribosomal RNA
Source: RNAcentral
CUCCUACGGGAGGCAGCAGUGGGGAAUAUUGGACAAUGGGCGCAAGCUUGAUCCAGCCAUGCCGCGUGAGUGACGAAGGCCUUAGGGUUGUAAAGCUCUUUUGUCAGGGAAGAAACGGUGUGGGCUAAUAUCUUGCACUAAUGACGGUACCUGAAGAAUAAGCACCGGCUAACUACGUGCCAGCAGCCGCGGUAAUACGUAGGGUGCAAGCGUUAAUCGGAAUUACUGGGCGUAAAGCGUGCGCAGGCGGUUUUGUAAGUUUGUCGUGAAAGCCCCGGGCUCAACCUGGGAAUUGCGAUGAAGACUGCAAGGCUUGAAUCUGGCAGAGGGGGGUAGAAUUCCACGUGUAGCAGUGAAAUGCGUAGAGAUGUGGAGGAACACCGAUGGCGAAGGCAGCCCCCUGGGUCAAGAUUGACGCUCAUGCACGAAAGCGUGGGGAGCAAACAGGAUUAGAUACCCUGGUAGUCCACGCCCUAAACGAUGUCUACUAGUUGUCGGGUUUUAAUUAACUUGGUAACGCA